Taeniopygia guttata (zebra finch) is the source of this 2775-nucleotide non-coding RNA. NCBI's taxonomy places the organism in Eukaryota, Metazoa, Chordata, Aves, Passeriformes, Estrildidae. The record is from RefSeq and is a predicted model, not a curated record.
CACCGAAGUAGCCAUGGCGGCAGCGGCACUCGCCGGGCCUGACACAAACCUCGUUCUCCUUGCAGGUGAAGUUCCCCUCGCACACGGCUGGACAGAUGGACAGACAGCAGGCAAGAGGAGGAGACAGCGAGGAAGUAUUCGCUUGAAACCCAGAGCAGUCACAGGACCACGUCUGGCUGCCAGACCGCCUCAUCCAUCGGGGCGGGAGCUGCCAGCGGCGCCGCGGCCAGAGUGGGCUCCUGGAGCCACAGCUGUCCCCGGCCCACAGGGCAGCACCCCUGGCCCAGCCAGGAGCACCGUGUCCCCCUGUCGUGGCCAACAGUGAGAAGUUGGAAAGGAGGCAGAAAAGAACCACAAAAAUUAUUCAAGGCCUGGAAAAAAUGCCUUGCAGCCGGAGCCCAAAAUAGCUCCAUCUCUGCAGCCUGUGGAAGCAGCCCCAAGAUGCUGCGAUGGCAGCGGUACAAACACCCCCCACAGGGACCCUAGGGCUCAAUGGGGGGCUCUGCUCCUGCAGAGCAUGCGAGGAGUUAAUGGCAAAGGGGGGCCGACCACCAAAUCACCUCCCUGAGAACUGGGCAGGCUGGAGACAAGGUCCUUCUUUGCAAGAGGCUUCAGGCUGUGCCCCCCCAAAAGCUUUGCCAGCUGUGCUGGGAUACUCAGGCAGAGGUGGAGAAGGGUCCAUGGUGUUCUUGCCCUCCCACAGCAUGGCCAAAGCCUCACUGUUGCAUCUGGGGUUGCUUUCACCAGUCCGGCCUUUAGAAAUUCAAUUUGGUGGCUUUCAGAAUGAAACCAUCCCAGGUUUGUAAGAGGAAACUCUUCCACCUGGGACACCUGCCUCCAACAGCCCAGCCUGGCCACCAAAACGGGCAUCACAGGAAAUGUGCCAAAAAGUGUCCGUUGUGAUGAGCUGAUGGUGGGGAGCUGGAAGUUACUGGGAUGUGGUGGCAGGAGGGAAAAACUGCCAUGUGCUGGAGGAGGUGAGCGGCACCACAACCAGCCCAGCUGGGAGCCAGCCCACCACCCCACAGGAUUUGAGCUUAUCUAUUCCCUGAUAGCUAAUCUCUCCUUCCCGGUGCCUGCUAAUGGCCUCCCACACCCUGCUCAGUACCCAUCUCGUUUAUCAGCAGCUUUGACAACAAAUUAACUUGGUCCUGGGGCAAGGAGAGGUAGGCAGGAUGUAACACUGGAAAACACCUGCUCCCAGUGGGGUACACGGACUGGUCCCAGCACAGCCAGCCCACAGAGGGUCAGUGCUGCUUGCAGGUCACCAACGCUCAUCAGGGUCAGGGACUAAAAGGGGUUUCAUGGCCUCAGCUCCUUGACAAAGGGCUUGCUCCAUGUAUCCCCUGACCACUGGAAAAGGAUAACUGAGAGAUGUAUUUAAAAGCUCGCUCCUGACCCACAUGGACAUGGCACUGCAAACAUCCACUCUGCAAAUACUUUCUUUCCUUCAAAGCACUAUAAAUGGUGGGGGAAAAAAAAAAAAAAAAAAUGAAAUGAAAAGCUGCCUCUGAGCCAGGGCUUGAGACCUCAGCUGAUGUGAAGGAAAAGGAGUGGGCUGUGUGCAGAGCUGAAGCUGUCACCUGCAGGGACAAGUCCUCCAUGCUAGCCUUGCUGCUGACCCACAGCCACGUCCUGCUCGUGCUGAGCAUCACUGGGAUCUUGGCUAAUGAUCCCAGGCUUUUCACAGAGGUAGACUAUUUUUCUUGUGGAUUACUAUCCUACGCUGUUCCUGGAAAUCACUUUGCCAAUGGCUACAGAGAGGCCUCUGAGGCAGGAGGGAUGACUCCUCAGUCAGACCAGCACAGCCAGCCCUGAACAAUAAGGAGCAAGCUCAUACCCGGGGAAGCAGGAAUAAGACUCUGGGGCUCAGCUGGGAGCUGCUGCAUGUGCUACCAUGUAAGACCACCCAGCUCAGCCCAGUGGAUGGAGCUGCAAAGGAGCCCUGUGCACACCCAGCAUACUCCUGGUGCUCAGAGAAGCACUGACACUGACCCCUUUCUCAGUGCUUCUCCAUUCCUGCCUUGCUGCUCCUUCCAAGCAUAACCCCAGUGCUAAUCUUCCUCUGGGUCACCCAUCACUUGGUGCCACCCAGCUGGCACAGUGUUCCUGGGACAGCUGGGUCCCAGGCACUGGCACUCCUCAGCUGAUGCCAGAUGCAGCUCCCUGACCCCAGCCUCAGGGUGCAGACAGACACACAGAUAUCCCCAGGCCAGGCAGGAAUAGAGUCAUGGGCAUAAAUAGAAACCUUUCAGGCAGAGAAAUAAAAUUGAAGACCAGAGAUUGGAAAAGAGAGUGUUAGCAUAAGAGCAGGACAGAGUCAAAGCAGUGCCCAGGCUGUCACCACUGGCACCUUCGGUUAUACCAGCGGGAAACCAAAUAUAAAAGAACUUCAAAUUUAAGGACAAGUUGAAUUUAGAACACAAACCCCAAAGAGCCCCAGAUGUGCCCUUUUCUUCUGCCCUAAAUUAUUCCUUGAAUUUCUACUUGGGAGCCAGGUCUUAAGAAGUCACACAAUCCUUCUGAACCCUCUGAAACCUAUGGUGGCAUCUCCACAGGAUGUCUGGAUGGGCUUUGCAGAGGUAAGGGUCCAGCAAGCUCCAGCAGCCUUGGGUGGAGGAGAUAGGGACCUCCUCCCAAGGCCACCUCCAGUCCCACUGCCCCUGGCGCCAGGAUCUGCAGCACCAGGGCCUUGGGGCCACUGGGGUGGGUUUGGAUGGUAACAUAUGGGAUGUCCUCCAUGUCCAUUGUACACAGCAGUGAUGGGGGUGGGUG